UAGUAUUUUACAAUAUUAUAUUCUAACUCUUAUCAACCUUUGAAUAAAUUUAUAUAUAUAUAUUUUUUAAUUUUCUCCGAAAUAUGAGACUAUUAAUCAGAUUUUAAAAUUUUUAGUCAACUGAUUAAUUAUUUUUAUAGAUUUAAGUUAUAACCAAACAGCCAUAAGUGACCCGUUGGGAAAAGAAACUGGUCUAGGUGAACCAAAGUCAGGCCCACGUGGCCAGCCACCAUAUUCACAAUCCACUCACAAAACCACACUGCAAGAGAAGAAAUGGGCUGAAACAAAAUCAGCAGCAACCGAGAGUUAGCCCAAUUGAAAAUAAUAUUCAAAUUUUAAAAUUAACGUGGGACCCAAUUGUUAGCAGAUUCAGUUUCUAUUUUUGUAAUCUGGGUUUUGCUUUGCCGGCAAUGGACAACCGGAGAUACGAACGGCGCAGGGGAGCCUAAACCAGCAACCACUGUUACACCAAUUCUAGCCAUACCCAAACACAAUUAAAUCCAAGCCAAACAAGCACAAACAUCACCACAAAAUUUGAUUCCACAAUCUGCCAAGAACAGAGGUCCGACCAUGGAAAUCGAUAAACUCCGGCGAGAGACCAAAAUCAGAACACAGAUUUAAUGUUCAGAUUUCAGGGUAGGGGGGUUCAUAUGACCCCUUCCGCCUCUGCUCCUCGCCGCCUGCUGGCUGGCUGCUGCU
Molecule: long non-coding RNA, 699 nt
Filed under: Panax ginseng (ginseng)
Lineage: Eukaryota; Viridiplantae; Streptophyta; Magnoliopsida; Apiales; Araliaceae
Description: long non-coding RNA (PGIN_LNC008273)
Source: RNAcentral